GCCCGCCCAAGUAGCGGAGCAUGUGGUUUAAUUCGAAGCAACGCGAAGACCCUUACCUAAGCUUGACAUCCCAAUGACAUCUCCUUAAUCGGAGAGUUCCCUUCGGGGACAUUGGUGACAGGUGGUGCAUGGU
This 133-nucleotide ribosomal RNA is filed under the name Clostridioides difficile. RNAcentral describes it as "partial 16S ribosomal RNA". It matches the Rfam family "Bacterial small subunit ribosomal RNA", at positions 919 to 1049 of the family's 1533-position model. Lineage: Bacteria; Bacillati; Bacillota; Clostridia; Peptostreptococcales; Peptostreptococcaceae. The record is from RNAcentral.